UGGGGUGGGGAUGAACAGGCUACAAAACUUAGCAAAGGUCCAUUUAGUGGAGACAAUAUAUAAUCAGAGUUGUCAUCUAUUUUAAAACCCAAAGUUAAAUAAAUCAAAUUUGAGACCACAAGCUGAUGCAAAACAUUUAAAAUACACUGUAUAUCCACUGAAAAUUUCUGAAGCAUAAGCACAAACAGUUCAAGAACUAUCCAAUUGUGACGACUUGUUAGUUUAAAAAAAUCCAAUUACCAAGAUUUUUGUCCCAGAGUAGUUGCAGAAAAUUACACAAUUAGAGCAAUUUUUCUCAGCUGCUCCACUACAGGAAACUCAAAUAACCAUCUCAGUCCAAAGUGCAAGACAGACCGCAGUGAAAAGAGAAAGCAACAGCUAAAAGACGAUGAGUAAAGAAACGAGCAAAAGAUAUUGUUUCUUCCCCUGUUGGUAAGUUGAACCGGGGCAGUCCUAGGCAGCAAGGUUAAUUUAGACAUCAAGCUUCUAGGUCUUAUUUGGGCGUAGUUAUUCAUAGGAUAAAGUGGAGAGCUGCCAAUUCAUUGCUUAUCUCUUAACUCAGGCAAAAGACCUUGCUGGCCAGGAGGUCAAAGCAUCCCGUGAUGGGAACUGAAAAUACUUCCUCAAGCAACAAGGACUGCCCUGACGACAGCAAGACCCCAUGUGAUUGACCCCAAGACAAUGAUCAACCUGACCUAUGCUGCCCACCUGCAGUAUAAGCCUAGAGGUGAUGGUGUGUGUCCAGGGGAUUGUCUCAUUGUCUGCUUCACUUUGUCGGUUCUAAUCUGUCCUCUGCACAUGCGAUGGAGACGUGCCAUGGAGUGGAGGGAGGGAAGAGGCCUCACUUGAAGUUAGUUCCUUCCUUCUUUCAUGGAAGAACAAAGCUCUUUCAUCCUCGAAUCUUCUAUCUGAACAAAAGUUGCGAGAAUUAUUUUAUCCCUAAAAAAUUUCCUUGAAUAAUUUCCACCUACUGCAUGAAACAAUGGUCCCUUUUCACUUCUAAAAGGACUAAAAGACUAAAAAGUACAUUUUUUUUUUUUUUUUUUUUUUUAAUGGGCACCAAAGUAAAGCAUAUGUGCUCUAUUUGGAGAAUGCAGAUGCCUCAAGCUGUGGCAUUUCUUUCUCCAGCUCUCAGCAAGUGGCCAUUUAGGCUUAAUUGCUCCUCACAGCACAGUCCAAUUAAGAACGGGCAUCAGCAGGGUAAGGGCUAUUUGUUAAUCCAUAAAAGGUAUGAGAGACAGUACUUGUUUUGCCUGCGGUUUUUAUUCACAUGUUUGGGUGAAAAUCUAAACAGCUGGAACUCUCAGCAAGUGAUAUGUGUGUGUAUUUAAUCUGUUGGUUAUGGGCAAGAUGAGGGUAUGAACGUAUUUCACAAAACCAAACUUUUCCUUCCCAUACAAAGGAGAACUUUGUCAAGAUAUUGCUGAAGCCUACUAAAGUCUGAGAUUUGAAAGUGUAGUGGGAGUCAGAGCUAACUUAGAGGAGAAACCUCUGAACCAAGGGGGUUUCUCUACAAC
Canis lupus familiaris (dog) is the source of this 1517-nucleotide long non-coding RNA. RefSeq lists it as uncharacterized. Lineage: Eukaryota; Metazoa; Chordata; Mammalia; Carnivora; Canidae. The transcript has 6 exons. The record is from RefSeq and is a predicted model, not a curated record.